UACAGAGGGUGCGAGCGUUAAUCGGAAUUACUGGGCGUAAAGCGCACGUAGUCGGCUUUGUAAGUCGGUUGUGAAAUCCCCGGGCUCAACCUGGGAACUGCAUCCGAGACUGCAUUGCUAGAGUAUGGGAGAGGGAAGCGGAAUUUCUGGUGUAGCGGUGAAAUGCGUAGAUAUCAGAAGGAACAUCAGUGGCGAAGGCGGCUUCCUGGACCAAUACUGACGAUCAGGUGCGAAAGCGUGGGGAGCAAACAGG
RNAcentral lists this ribosomal RNA (253 nucleotides) under uncultured bacterium. RNAcentral describes it as "partial 16S ribosomal RNA". It matches the Rfam family "Bacterial small subunit ribosomal RNA", at positions 524 to 776 of the family's 1533-position model. The record is from RNAcentral.